UUUGUGAUAACCAGGUCACUUCUAAAUAGCGCUAUACAGCUCAGUGGACCUUACAUGCUAAAAUAAAAACUAGUUUUAUUUGAGUUCAUGUCACUGAAAAUUGAGGUCUUCCCAUUUUUUUCCAAGGGAUAUUUAUCCCUCACUUCCAUGCUCAUCAGACAAGUUGCAUAUGGGAACCCAUAUUGCAGUUCUAACCACGUGGUCUGUCAAUUGGUUUACCACAGUCUAUUUAUCUUCAAAUCAAGAUAGUGCUAUUUCCCCACUCGAGGGUAAAAAUGUACAAGCCGAUCAGAACAUUUUAACUUGUUUACCUUUAUGGAAUUUGAGAUAUUUUUUUUGGAUUUGUUAAUUAAGUCACGUAAUUUGAUUCUGCUCAUUGCAAUAAACAAGAACCAUUUCAUAUUUAGAUUAAAACAAAUAUAAGCUUCAUACAUUUUCUGGAAACAAUGGACAGAAAAUGUUUGCCAUAUUGAAAUAAUGGAACCUAGUCUGCAAUGUGUUUUGAAACGUGCAGCUAAUACACAUGUUGAUGUGUUUUAGGCAGCUAUAUACCAUUUUUUAUGCUGAAGUUUGUAAACUGCAGCUUAUAUGUGAAAAGUAAUCGUGACGCAAAGUCUAUAAUGUAAAAAAAAAAUUCAACACAGCUCACACUGCAAAUUUGUCUUGUAACUAUAUUAUCCUGCUGCUAACUAAAUAUUCACUUCAAAACGAUUUUAAUGCAGCUUACAGCUUUGUUUUUUUCUCAAUAUAUUGA
This is a long non-coding RNA of Petromyzon marinus (sea lamprey), 754 nucleotides long. RefSeq lists it as uncharacterized. The record is from RefSeq and is a predicted model, not a curated record. Lineage: Eukaryota; Metazoa; Chordata; Hyperoartia; Petromyzontiformes; Petromyzontidae.